This 665-nucleotide ribosomal RNA is filed under the name Bifidobacterium sp. RNAcentral's name for it is "bacterial SSU rRNA". It matches the Rfam family "Bacterial small subunit ribosomal RNA", at positions 181 to 857 of the family's 1533-position model. Lineage: Bacteria; Bacillati; Actinomycetota; Actinomycetes; Bifidobacteriales; Bifidobacteriaceae. The record is from RNAcentral.
CUUCCUCGCAUGGGGUUGUGGGAAAGGGUCUUACCGGUAUGGGAUGGGGUCGCGUCCUAUCAGCUUGUCGGUGGGGUAACGGCCCACCGAGGCUUCGACGGGUAGCCGGCCUGAGAGGGCGACCGGCCACAUUGGGACUGAGAUACGGCCCAGACUCCUACGGGAGGCAGCAGUGGGGAAUAUUGCACAAUGGGCGCAAGCCUGAUGCAGCGACGCCGCGUGCGGGAUGACGGCCUUCGGGUUGUAAACCGCUUUUGAUUGGGAGCAAGCGCAAGUGAGUGUACCUUUCGAAUAAGCGCCGGCUAACUACGUGCCAGCAGCCGCGGUAAUACGUAGGGCGCAAGCGUUGUCCGGAAUUAUUGGGCGUAAAGGGCUCGUAGGCGGCCCGUCGCGUCCGGUGUGAAAGCCCGUCGCUUAACGGCGGGUCUGCGCCGGGUACGGGCGGGCUGGAGUGCGGUAGGGGAGACUGGAAUUCCCGGUGUAACGGUGGAAUGUGUANAUAUCGGGAAGAACACCAAUGGCGAAGGCAGGUCUCUGGGCCGUUACUGACGCUGANGAGCGAAAGCGUGNGGAGCGAACAGGAUUAGAUACCCUGGUAGUCCACGCCGUAAACGGUGGACGCUGGAUGUGGGGCCCAUUCCACGGGUUCCGUGUCGGANCUAACG